RNAcentral lists this ribosomal RNA (2495 nucleotides) under Salmonella enterica. Its description in RNAcentral is "partial 23S ribosomal RNA". It matches the Rfam family "Bacterial large subunit ribosomal RNA", at positions 528 to 2925 of the family's 2925-position model. Lineage: Bacteria; Pseudomonadati; Pseudomonadota; Gammaproteobacteria; Enterobacterales; Enterobacteriaceae. The record is from RNAcentral.
GGUUAACGGAGCGAAAGCGACGUUCAACCGCAAAACAAGCAGAGGGGGCUUAGUGGUGGGGUGACUGCGUACCUUUUGUAUAAUGGGUCAGCGACUUAUAUUCUGUAGCAAGGUUAACCGUAUAGGGGAGCCGGAGGGAAACCGAGUCUUAAUUGGGCGUUAAGUUGCAGGGUAUAGACCCGAAACCCGGUGAUCUAGCCAUGGGCAGGUUGAAGGUUGGGUAACACUAACUGGAGGACCGAACCGACUAAUGUUGAAAAAUUAGCGGAUGACCUGUGGCUGGGGGUGAAAGGCCAAUCAAACCGGGAGAUAGCUGGUUCUCCCCGAAAGCUAUUUAGGUAGCGCCUCGUGAAUUCAUCUCCGGGGGUAGAGCACUGUUUCGGCUAGGGGGCCAUCCCGGCUUACCAACCCGAUGCAAACUGCGAAUACCGGAGAAUGUUAUCACGGGAGACACACGGCGGGUGCUAACGUCCGUCGUGAAGAGGGAAACAACCCAGACCGCCAGCUAAGGUCCCAAAGUCAUGGUUAAGUGGGAAACGAUGUGGGAAGGCCCAGACAGCCAGGAUGUUGGCUUAGAAGCAGCCAUCAUUUAAAGAAAGCGUAAUAGCUCACUGGUCGAGUCGGCCUGCGCGGAAGAUGUAACGGGGCUAAACCAUGCACCGAAGCUGCGGCAGCGAACGUAUCACUUAAAGCGAUUCAGCGGGUUACGAUUGACGGAGCGAAGCGACGUCAAAGCGUAUACAAAGUCGAGUCGGUUUAAGGAUACGUUCGUUGGGUAGGGGAGCGUUCUGUAAGCCUGCGAAGGUGGCCUGUGAGGGUUGCUGGAGGUAUCAGAAGUGCGAAUGCUGACAUAAGUAACGAUAAAGCGGGUGAAAAGCCCGCUCGCCGGAAGACCAAGGGUUCCUGUCCAACGUUAAUCGGGGCAGGGUGAGUCGACCCCUAAGGCGAGGCCGAAAGGCGUAGUCGAUGGGAAACGGGUUAAUAUUCCCGUACUUGGUGUUACUGCGAAGGGGGGACGGAGAAGGCUAUGUUGGCCGGGCGACGGUUGUCCCGGUUUAAGCGUGUAGGCUGGUUUUCCAGGCAAAUCCGGAAAAUCAAGGCUGAGGCGUGACGACGAGGCACUACGGUGCUGAAGCAACAAAUGCCCUGCUUCCAGGAAAAGCCUCUAAGCAUCAGGUAACACGAAAUCGUACCCCAAACCGACACAGGUGGUCAGGUAGAGAAUACCAAGGCGCUUGAGAGAACUCGGGUGAAGGAACUAGGCAAAAUGGUGCCGUAACUUCGGGAGAAGGCACGCUGACACGUAGGUGAAGUGAUUUACUCAUGGAGCUGAAGUCAGUCGAAGAUACCAGCUGGCUGCAACUGUUUAUUAAAAACACAGCACUGUGCAAACACGAAAGUGGACGUAUACGGUGUGACGCCUGCCCGGUGCCGGAAGGUUAAUUGAUGGGGUCAGCGCAAGCGAAGCUCCUGAUCGAAGCCCCGGUAAACGGCGGCCGUAACUAUAACGGUCCUAAGGUAGCGAAAUUCCUUGUCGGGUAAGUUCCGACCUGCACGAAUGGCGUAAUGAUGGCCAGGCUGUCUCCACCCGAGACUCAGUGAAAUUGAACUCGCUGUGAAGAUGCAGUGUACCCGCGGCAAGACGGAAAGACCCCGUGAACCUUUACUAUAGCUUGACACUGAACAUUGAGCCUUGAUGUGUAGGAUAGGUGGGAGGCUUUGAAGUGUGGACGCCAGUCUGCAUGGAGCCGACCUUGAAAUACCACCCUUUAAUGUUUGAUGUUCUAACGUGGACCCGUAAUCCGGGUUGCGGACAGUGUCUGGUGGGUAGUUUGACUGGGGCGGUCUCCUCCUAAAGAGUAACGGAGGAGCACGAAGGUUGGCUAAUCCUGGUCGGACAUCAGGAGGUUAGUGCAAUGGCAUAAGCCAGCUUGACUGCGAGCGUGACGGCGCGAGCAGGUGCGAAAGCAGGUCAUAGUGAUCCGGUGGUUCUGAAUGGAAGGGCCAUCGCUCAACGGAUAAAAGGUACUCCGGGGAUAACAGGCUGAUACCGCCCAAGAGUUCAUAUCGACGGCGGUGUUUGGCACCUCGAUGUCGGCUCAUCACAUCCUGGGGCUGAAGUAGGUCCCAAGGGUAUGGCUGUUCGCCAUUUAAAGUGGUACGCGAGCUGGGUUUAGAACGUCGUGAGACAGUUCGGUCCCUAUCUGCCGUGGGCGCUGGAGAACUGAGGGGGGCUGCUCCUAGUACGAGAGGACCGGAGUGGACGCAUCACUGGUGUUCGGGUUGUCAUGCCAAUGGCACUGCCCGGUAGCUAAAUGCGGAAGAGAUAAGUGCUGAAAGCAUCUAAGCACGAAACUUGCCCCGAGAUGAGUUCUCCCUGAGACUUAGAGUCUCCUGAAGGAACGUUGAAGACGACGACGUUGAUAGGCCGGGUGUGUAAGCGCAGCGAUGCGUUGAGCUAACCGGUACUAAUGAACCGUGAGGCUUAACCUUAC